AACUUUGAGUAAUCGCGGCAUUCAAUGCUGAGGAAAGUCCAUGCUCGCACAAGCUGAGAUGCUUGUAGUGUUCGUGCUUAGCGAAACAAUAAGCUAAGGCAACUUUAUGUUGACGGCAGAAAAACGAGCUACGGCAAUGCUAUGCUCUAGUAUUCUUGAAAGUGCCACAGUGACGAAGCAAUUUUGGAAACGAAAUUGGUGGAACGCGGUAAACCCCUCGAGCGAGCAACCCAAACUUAUGGUAGGGGCAC
RNAcentral lists this RNase P RNA (251 nucleotides) under Granulicatella sp. RNAcentral describes it as "partial RNase P RNA component class B". It matches the Rfam family "Bacterial RNase P class B", at positions 1 to 259 of the family's 365-position model. From Rfam's summary of the family: Ribonuclease P (RNase P) is a ubiquitous endoribonuclease, found in archaea, bacteria and eukarya as well as chloroplasts and mitochondria. Lineage: Bacteria; Bacillati; Bacillota; Bacilli; Lactobacillales; Carnobacteriaceae. The record is from RNAcentral.